Molecule: ribosomal RNA, 468 nt
Filed under: uncultured bacterium
Lineage: Bacteria
Description: partial 16S ribosomal RNA
Rfam family: Bacterial small subunit ribosomal RNA
Source: RNAcentral
GACGAACGCUGGCGGCGUGCUUAACACAUGCAAGUCGAACGGAAAGGCCCUGCUUUUGUGGGGUGCUCGAGUGGCGAACGGGUGAGUAACACGUGAGUAACCUGCCCUUGACUUUGGGAUAACUUCAGGAAACUGGGGCUAAUACCGGAUAGGAGCUCCUGCUGCAUGGUGGGGGUUGGAAAGUUUCGGCGGUUGGGGAUGGACUCGCGGCUUAUCAGCUUGUUGGUGGGGUAGUGGCUUACCAAGGCUUUGACGGGUAGCCGGCCUGAGAGGGUGACCGGCCACAUUGGGACUGAGAUACCGCCCAGACUCCUACGGGAGGCAGCAGUGGGGAAUAUUGCACAAUGGGCGGAAGCCUGAUGCAGCAACGCCGCGUGCGGGAUGACGGCCUUCGGGUUGUAAACCGCUUUCGCCUGUGACGAAGCGUGAGUGACGGUAAUGGGUAAAGAAGCGCCGGCUAACUACGUG